CGGCUACCACAUCCAAGGAAGGCAGCAGGCGCGCAAAUUACCCACUCCCGUCACGGGGAGGUAGUGACGAAAAAUAACGAUACGGAACUCAUACGAGGCUCCGUAAUCGGAAUGAGUACACUUUAAAUCCUUUAACGAGGAUCUAUUGGAGGGCAAGUCUGGUGCCAGCAGCCGCGGUAAUUCCAGCUCCAAUAGCGUAUAUUAAAGUUGUUGCGGUUAAAAAGCUCGUAGUUGGAUCUCGGUUUCACUCAGGCGGUACACCUUGCGGUGUUCACUGUCUGGGCGGACGUUUCUGUUGGUUCGCUGUUGGUUCUCUUAAUCGAGUGCCAAUUGGUGGCCAGCACGUUUACUUUGAAAAAAUUGGAGUGCUCAAAGCAGGCGUUACAGCCUGAACAUUAGUGCAUGGAAUAAUGGAAUAGGAUCUCGAUUCUAUUUCGUUGGCUUUCGGAGUCGAGGUAAUGAUUAAUAGGGACAGACGGGGGCAUUCGUACUGCGACGUUAGAGGUGAAAUUCUUGGAUCGUCGCAAGACGAACUACUGCGAAAGCAUUUGCCAAGAAUGUUUUCAUUAAUCAAGAACGAAAGUUAGAGGUUCGAAGGCGAUCAGAUACCGCCCUAGUUCUAACCAUAAACGAUGCCAACCGGCGAUCCGUCGUCGUUAAUUGAAUGACUCGACGGGCAGCCUCCGGGAAACCAGAGUGUUUGGGUUCCGGGGGAAGUAUGGUUGCAAAGCUGAAACUUAAAGGAAUUGACGGAAGGGCACCACCAGGAGUGGAGCCUGCGGCUUAAUUUGACCCAACACGGGAAAUCUCACCAGGCCCGGACACCGGAAGGAUUGACAGAUUGAGAGCUCUUUCUUGAUUCGGUGGGUGGUGGUGCAUGGCCGUUCUUAGUUGGUGGAGCGAUUUGUCUGGUUAAUUCCGAUAACGAACGAGACUCUGGCCUACUAACUAGAAGGGUCGUUCUUUACGAGCGGCCCUCUGCUUCUUAGAGGGACGGGCGGCGUUUAGCCGCACGAGAAUGAGCAAUAACAGGUCUGUGAUGCCCUUAGAUGUUCUGGGCUGCACGCGCGCUACACUGAAGGAAUCAGCAUGUUCUCCCCUCCCUGAAAAGGGCGGGUAACCCGUUGAAACUCCUUCGUGAUGGGGAUUGGAGAUUGUAAUUAUUCUCCAUGAACGAGGAAUUCCCAGUAGGCGCGAGUCAUCAGCUUGCGUCGAUUACGUCCCUGCCCUUUGUACACACCGCCCGUCGCUACUACCGAUCGAGUGAUUUAGUGAGGACUUCGGACUGGUCUCCAAGUUGGCUUCGGUCAGCUCGGAGUUCCGGAAAGAUGCCCAAACUUGAUCACUUAGAGGAAGUAAAAGUCGUAACAAGGUU
Molecule: ribosomal RNA, 1375 nt
Filed under: metagenome
Description: SSU rRNA
Rfam family: Eukaryotic small subunit ribosomal RNA
Source: RNAcentral